UGAGGUAAAUAUAGGCAAUCUAAGAUAUUAUUUAUGUUUUAUUCUUCUUAAAUUUCCUGUUGUUAUGAAAAUAAGGAAAAAGCUCCCUUGUGCAAAAAGACAGAAACCAAAGGAGGAAUAUGAGCAAAAAUGGCAUACUAUAACAAGAAAUUGACAAUCCAUCUAUGAGAAGCAUAUCCUUACACAUUGUUUAGUUUAGACUACGAUAUCGAAACAACUUAUAUCGAACUAUUUUUGUAGAUUGGAAGUGCUAAUGAUGAGUGUGGCAAGUCAAAGUCUGAGGUUGAUGAUGAUGAGGACAAUAAGAGCAAUGGAGAUGUUAGUUGAGAUUUAGCUAUACAACCUUUUUUACUUGAAAUUUGGUGACCGUGUUGACUUAUUAUUUUGUUUUAAUUAAUGUAGGAGGAAGAUGAUGAGUAAGGACUACCACGGAAAAUUGGAUUCUAGAUUCAAGGUGACAACUAACAAACAAACAAUUUUCCACCAUUAAUUUGCGUUUCUGGCUUCAAAUUUUGUAAAAUGUUUGAAUUCAAAUUGGGUUAAUCGGAUUGGUGAAAUUAGGAUUUCAUGAAGAAUUAUCAUGCAGAAAUUGGGCUUCAUGUUAAUUCUAUUGAAAUCAAUUGAAAUUAAUUAUUGAUAAUAAGACUUUCCUCCUCUUUUUUGGGUUGUGAGUGUUGCUAAGGAGUUUGUUUCUUCUUUAUAGUGAGGGAACAAGCAUAUCUUCCCUUCCAUUAACUCGGGCAAAAAAAGAGAGGAAACGUAUGUCUUGGUUUUCCUUUUCAGUAUGCAAUUAUUUAGAGGGAAUGGGUGGAGGAAGAGGAGGUCGAGUGUUUGUAGACCCAUGAGCAAAAAAGGCAGACUACAAUAAGAAUUUGGUAAGUCCAUCAAUGAAAUACUCUAUUACAAUACACCACGUGCGUUACACACGCCAGGAAUUAGUUUGAUAAAUAUUUAAUGUGUUACAGCUAGUAACUCAUAUAUUGUUAAAUCAUUAAAUCUCAUUCCUUUUGUGAAAUCAUUGAAGUUAAAAAUGUUAAGAGAGAAAAAUAUUAAUUUAUUCAUAUCUUAAAUACAUCUCUUGGGGUGCAGGUAAAUUUAAUUUUUCUAUAGACAUGACAUGUAUGAUUUUGAUGGGAUGACGUUAUUAUUCUGCAGAUUUCCAUCUGCUCGUCUAUUUCCAAUCCAAGUUUGGAGACUUAUAGCUCAAUCAUUUACGGGGUCAAGAAAAUUGUUAAUUAUGUCAGUCGCUACCACCUACAUGGCCCGCUUUGUAUAUAUUUUGUUACAAGCUCCGAUUCACGACAGUUGAUGAUGUGUUGUUUAAAUCGGAUUUGCCUUGUACAUAGUUUUUGUUGUUAAGGAGUUGCUGGAAGAUGCCAAACCAAUCAUUAUUUAGUGACACAUUUUUUAAGAGCAAUCCAAGAAACUACAUUUGUUAAGUGAAGCCAACGCUCUGCUGAAGCAAACAAAAAGAUUAUGAUGAUUGAGGAUGAUCAAGUUCACGUUUCACUUCUUGUCCUUCCAUUCCCAUCUCCUUGAGUAAAGACCAUUUGUUGUAUUACGUGGCUGCCGAACAUUUCAAACACUCCUGUGAACAUUUUAGAUGUAAAAUUCUACAUUAUAUGAGGAAUUUCCUUUUUUCCGAACGGGGAAUCAUGUAGGCUGUCUUGCCAUUUCCAAUCAUUUUGUCAGAUGAUUUUAUUUUUCCCCGCCUAUUUGACAGAUGCAAUGUUGACGGUAGAUGAUUGGUUCAAAAUUUGGCUAUUUUUUAAAUAGUCCAAUAUCAGAAUGCCAAGAAGUAAG
RNAcentral lists this long non-coding RNA (1803 nucleotides) under Olea europaea subsp. europaea. The record is from RNAcentral. Lineage: Eukaryota; Viridiplantae; Streptophyta; Magnoliopsida; Lamiales; Oleaceae.